AUGAAUCCCAUCCAGGGCGGGGCCUCUGGGUCUCGCUUCUCCGUGACCACCACGCAACCGCACACACUUUGCUGGGAAAUGAAAACGAGACGAGGGUCUGGGGGCGCGACUGGCUCCAGAUGCGGCUGCGGGGCGGUCAGAGGCCGGGCACCGAGGCUUUCGGGCCUCCGCGGCGGCCGCGUCCCCCAGGGCGCCCCCCUCCUCCCUCGCGACCUGGGGCAGCGGCGCCCCCCGCGCGGCCUCGCGUCGCCCGCAGGCCCGACUCGCCCUGUCCUCGCGCUCCCCCGCCCCGAGCCUGGGUCGGCCCCGAGCCCCCUCCCCAGCCGCGGCGUGAGAAGCGGGGCCACCCGAGCCGCCCACCGGCUGCACACAAAGCCCCCCACGGGGCCGCGGCGGUCCCGCUCCCGGGGCUCAGAGAGCAGCGCCCCGCGCUCCCGCGCCCACCGCCCCCGCCCCCACCCCACGCCCCUGGGGAGGCGACGAGCCGGGGGGAGACCCGGCGCACCGGAGCACCCCCCAGCAGGGCCCUCGGCCCGGCCGACGCUCUCACCUCCAAAGAACGGGCGGCGCCGCCUGCGGAGGAGGACGGCGGGUGGGGAAUACUCGCACCGGGUCGGGCCGCGCAGGGACCCGGUCCGGAAGGACGCGCGGCUGGGAGCGCUCACCCCGGCCCCGCGCGGCCGCGCCGCCUCCUCAGAAGGGAGGCCUCUACCGUCCGGCUCCGGACCUGCAGCUGACGGGGGCGCGGGCGCGCGGGCGCGCGCUCCCGAUGGCCCCGCCCCGUCCCGCCGGCCCCGCCCCAUCCCGUCCCGCCCCCCGUCCCGUCCGGUCCUGCCGGCCCCGCCCCGCCCCCGUCCCGCCCCCCGUCCCGCUCCGUCCCAGCGGCCCCCGUCCCGCCCCGCCCCGCCCCGCCCCGCCGGCCCCGCCCCGCCGGCCUCCCCUUCGCCGCCGGCUCCCUCCCCUCCUCCCCGGCCGCGGGUGCCGUCCGCCCUCCAGAAGACGUACGCGAAGCGACAAGGAAAGCCUUCCACCAAAAUGAGCUGUGAUAUCCUUUUGAUGGGUAUAAUUUAUUCCAAAUCGUCCCUGGACUGA
Molecule: long non-coding RNA, 1092 nt
Filed under: Canis lupus familiaris (dog)
Lineage: Eukaryota; Metazoa; Chordata; Mammalia; Carnivora; Canidae
Description: lncRNA (ENSCAFG00000056736.1)
Source: RNAcentral